RNAcentral lists this ribosomal RNA (454 nucleotides) under uncultured bacterium. RNAcentral's name for it is "partial 16S ribosomal RNA". It matches the Rfam family "Bacterial small subunit ribosomal RNA", at positions 341 to 792 of the family's 1533-position model. The record is from RNAcentral.
ACGGAAGGCAGCAGUGAGGAAUAUUGGUCAAUGGGCGGAAGCCUGAACCAGCCAAGUAGCGUGCAGGAUGACGGCCCUAUGGGUUGUAAACUUCUUUUAUAGGGGGAUAAAGUGAGGCAUGUAUGCCUUUUUGUAGGUACCCUAUGAAUAGGCAUCGGCUAACUCCGUGCCAGCAGCCGCGGUAAUACGGAGGAUGCGAGCGUUAUCCGGAUUUAUUGGGUUUAAAGGGUGCGCAGGCGGCACGUUAAGUCAGCGGUGAAAUGCAGGGGCUCAACCCCGGCACUGCCGUUGAAACUGGCGAGCUCGAGUACGGAUGAAGUCGGCGGAAUGUGAUGUGUAGCGGUGAAAUGCUUAGAUAUGUCACAGAACACCGAUUGCGAAGGCAGCUGACUAAUCCGCAACUGACGCUCAGGCACGAAAGCGUGGGGAUCGAACAGGAUUAGAUACCCUGGUA